GUGCUUGCACUAAAUGAAACUACAUAUAAGCGAGCGGCGGACGGGUGAGUAACACGUGGGUAACCUGCCCAAGAGACUGGGAUAACACCUGGAAACAGAUGCUAAUACCGGAUAACAACACUAGACGCAUGUCUAGAGUUUGAAAGAUGGUUCUGCUAUCACUCUUGGAUGGACCUGCGGUGCAUUAGCUAGUUGGUAAGGUAACGGCUUACCAAGGCAAUGAUGCAUAGCCGAGUUGAGAGACUGAUCGGCCACAUUGGGACUGAGACACGGCCCAAACUCCUACGGGAGGCAGCAGUAGGGAAUCUUCCACAAUGGACGAAAGUCUGAUGGAGCAACGCCGCGUGAGUGAAGAAGGGUUUCGGCUCGUAAAGCUCUGUUGGUAGUGAAGAAAGAUAGAGGUAGUAACUGGCCUUUAUUUGACGGUAAUUACUUAGAAAGUCACGGCUAACUACGUGCCAGCAGCCGCGGUAAUACGUAGGUGGCAAGCGUUGUCCGGAUUUAUUGGGCGUAAAGCGAGUGCAGGCGGUUCAAUAAGUCUGAUGUGAAAGCCUUCGGCUCAACCGGAGAAUUGCAUCAGAAACUGUUGAACUUGAGUGCAGAAGAGGAGAGUGGAACUCCAUGUGUAGCGGUGGAAUGCGUAGAUAUAUGGAAGAACACCAGUGGCGAAGGCGGCUCUCUGGUCUGCAACUGACGCUGAGGCUCGAAAGCAUGGGUAGCGAACAGGAUUAGAUACCCUGGUAGU
This 745-nucleotide ribosomal RNA is filed under the name uncultured bacterium. RNAcentral's name for it is "bacterial SSU rRNA". It matches the Rfam family "Bacterial small subunit ribosomal RNA", at positions 64 to 794 of the family's 1533-position model. The record is from RNAcentral.